This is a non-coding RNA of Coffea arabica (coffee), 1966 nucleotides long. Lineage: Eukaryota; Viridiplantae; Streptophyta; Magnoliopsida; Gentianales; Rubiaceae. The record is from RefSeq and is a predicted model, not a curated record.
UAGCUCUCUAUUUAAUGGGAUUGUUUGCUAUCAUCAUGGAGAAGUACAAUGACCAACCUUUUAAAGUUGGGCAACUGGUUGAGGCAAGAUCCUUCAUGAAGGGUUAUCGAGGCGCGUGGUUUCGUUGCAAGAUAGUAGAUACAAAAAGGAGAGAUGGGCACAUCAAUUAUGGAUUGCGUUAUCUUGAUUUUCCAGAUGAAAAGGAUAAACCGAUAAGAUUAUAUCAACUACCUCCAGUUGGACAUAAGAGAAGAAGUGGGGUUGAAAGAGAGUUGAUGCUGCGGCCUCCAUUUCCACCUAUCUACCAUGAGGGUCAAUUGCCUCCUGCCAAUGAAACUUCAGAAGUCAUAGUUAUUACUGAAGCUAUUUGGAAUGUGGGUGAUCUUGUCGAUUGGUGGAAGGAUCAAUGUUUUUGGUCUGGAAAAGUUACACAAAUACUAGGCAAUGAAGAAGCCAUGGUCGAGUUGACCCCACCGCCUAUGGGUGAAGGCUCCUCAUAUAAAGCGUCUCUGAUUGAUCUACGCCCAUCUUUAGCUUGGUCACUGGAAGAUGGUUGGAAAUUGCCUGCUCCUAAGGAUGGUGCAAACCAUCGUCAAUGUGCACGACUUGUUGAUCCAGUGAAUCAGUCAGAUGGUAGGUUGGCAUUUGAAAUGCCUGUACAGGGUGAAGGAACAACAGAUGGUGAGGUUGCAUGUGGGUUAUCAUCUGCUCAAUCUCUUUCUUCUCAUGGUGCCGCAAAGUCAUUGCCAGCCUCAGAAAAGAUGAAGACCUGUGGGGCAAGUGAGAUGCUGAAAGAAUCUGAGAGUUUUCCAAAGGAGGUGGUGGGCGCACAAGAAGAAAAUGUGAACUUGGUACCUGGGGAUAAUGGCUCUAGGAAAUUAAGUUGUUCAGAUGGUACUUAUCCUCAUGCUAGAGAUGGUUCAGCUGAAGCUGCAGGUCUAUCUCUUGGAGAAGACUUGUCUGAUUCUAGUUCUCCACAGAAGAAGCUGAGAAACAGUAUUGGGCUUCCUUUAAACUCCGCCAGGUCUGACACCCUAGAUGCUCUAAUUUUGGAUUUGGAAGAGCUUGCAAACAAAAUUAAAUGGCUCAAAAUCAUCUUAAAAAGAGGAUACCCUUUGUCCAAUGCUGUGGACACUUCAUGGAUGUUUGUUGAGCACCGUGUGCCUUCAAUGCCUUGGUGACUUCUUGAUAAGGAAGCGUGGUGUGUCUGUCUUGUUUAUGUGCUCGAUUGCAUCAAGGAUCCUUGUUGAUGGAUAGCAGAUGGCCUAAUAAAUAAAUAGGAUGUUGGCAGACUCUCGUUGUCCUUUCCUAGUGAGCAAAAUGGUGCGUCCAGAGUUUCCCUGUUGAUGGCUUGUUAUUUGUGCUUCACAUCAGCUUGUCAAAUCUCUCCUGUUAUCAGCUUUAGUUUUCUGAGUUUAAUGCUUCCACUUACUGCUUUUAAACCUUUGUACUAAACCUCCCAGCGCCUUCAUUUGAAGACGAUCGAAGAUGAUAUCAACAUCCUAGAUGUUUACCAUAGUUGCAAGUCUCUUUCCUUCAGGUGUUGGUUCCCGCCGCUCUCCUGCCUCAAUUUGCAAGUACCAAAUGAAAAUUAUUGCAGCAAUGGAGCCUGCUAUGCUCCUUUUAGAAAGAACGGUAAAAGCAUGGGGGAAAAAGAUGGUUCUUCGUUUUGCUGGUUGGAGUUAGUUGUGUGAAAGUGCAAAAAGUAUCUUUUUCUACAUUCUGGUUGGUGUAAUUAGUAUCUUAAAAGUGCCGUGGUACUUGUUUAACUGCAGGUCCAGUAACGAUUACAAGAAGCUGAGAUUAUGUAUAAGAAUAGAAUCCUUAUGAAUUGCAACUACACAGGCUUUGAUUAAACUAGGAAGUUAGGCCUCAAAAUGAUCAUACAAGUAAAAAAGUUAUGUAGUCGGUUGUAAAUAAUUCUCUGUUCAGAAAAUGAAGAGUCUCUCUUCCGUCUUACUAUUCA